UUUCAUCAACGGUAGGAGGUGUCAUCAUACAAGUUAGCAUGGUACUAGUCAGUUUAUCGAACUGUCUCUAAUACUGUUUUAUUGUUUCACAAAAAGUUGUUACCACGUAUUGGUGAAGAUCUGUACAUAUUAUAAUAAGCUCAUUAAACUUUUGAUCUCGGUUGAGACUGUGGAACAUUUCAGGAUAGCGAACUAUUGGUUAGCUUGUUAGCGAACACUAGUGACAGCACAGCGCUGUCAUAUUGGGGACAAGUAUAUUGCUGCUGAAUAAACCUGUUGACGUUCUCCAAAAGAAGAUGGAGCUGCAGGCGGUAUUGAUGGCUGCUGGUGGUGGUUCUCGUAUGAUGGACCUGACCUACAACACCCCCAAACCUCUGCUACCUGUAGGGAACAAGCCCCUCAUCUGGUACCCCCUCAACCUGCUGGAGAGAGUGGGGUUUGAAGAGGUAAUUGUGAUCACAACCAAAGAGGUGCAGAAGAUGAUUAGCACAGACCCCAAGACGAAGCUGGAUGUGAAGAUGAAGUUAGACAUAGUGUGUAUCCAGGAGGAUGCUGACAUGGGCACCGCAGACGCCCUCAGACACAUUCAACAGAAAAUCAAGACGGACAUCUUGGUGGUGAGCUGUGACCUGAUAACGGACGCUGCUCUCCACGAGGUGGUUGACCUGUUCCGGGCUCACAAUGCCACCCUCUCAAUGCUGAUGAGCAAAGCCCACGAGUUCACGGAGACUGUCCCCGGACAGAAGGGCAAAAAAAAAACGGGGGAGCAGAGGGACUUUGUUGGGGUGGACGGAACAGGGAAGAGGCUCCUCUUUAUGGCCAACGAGGCCGACCUGGACGAAGGUCUAGUCAUCAGGAAGUCCAUCAUGCGAAAACAUCCAAGGAUGCACAUCAAAACUGGCCUUGUGGACGCCCACCUGUACUGCCUGAAGAAGUCUGUGGUCGACUUCCUGGCUGAUAACAAAUCUGUUUCUUCGAUUCGGGGAGAGCUAGUCCCGUAUCUCGUCCGCAAACAGUUCUCUAAAUCCAUGACCUCUCCGAAUGUCAAUGAUGAAGCUGAUCAGAACCUUAAGAAAAAGGAUGGCAAUGCAAACUUAGAGAUUCAGAUCUUGUCCAGGGAUGAGGUGCUGCUGCAGCUAACCCGGGAGAGGUCCUGUUGGAAUGACCAUCGUGGGGACAUGAGUGAGGCCUACCACGGAGGACGCCUGCGCUGUUACGUGCACAUCAUGGACGAGGGCAUGUGUUACCGCGUCAACACGCUAGCAGCCUACAUCGAAGCCAAUCGCCUGGCUCCUAAGCUGUUUGAUGAGCCUGCAGUCCAUCCAUCAGCAGCGAUAUCUGUGCGCUGUCUGAUUGGUGCUGACAGCAUAAUAGGAGCAUCCUGUCAAAUCUCAGACAAGGCAUCCAUCAAGAGAUCAAUGAUCGGCGCGUCCACCACCGUCAGAGAGAAGGUCAAAGUAACCAACUCCAUCAUCAUGCACGGAGUCACCAUCGAGGACGGGUGUAACAUCCAGGGCAGUGUGAUCUGCAGUAAUGCUGUGAUCGGCCGAGGUGCAGACAUCAAAUAUUGCCUGGUAGGGAGUGCCCAGCGCAUAGAGCCAGAGGGACAAUGACCCAACACACCUCCAGGCUGUGCAAGGGCUAUUUGACCAAGAAUGAGAGUGAUGGAGUGCUGCAUCAGAUGACCUGGCCUCCGCAAUCACCUGACCUCAACCCAAUUGAGAUGGUUUGGGAUGCGUUGGACCGCGGAGUGAAGGAAAAGCAGCCAACAAGUGCUCGGCAUAUGUGGGAACUCCUUCAAGACUGUUGGAAAAGCAUUUCAGCGGAAAGGACUAACGAGGUGAUUGUUGGAACUGACCAACUGAUGGAGAUCUAGACCAGGGGGAGACUGACCGAACGACCAGUCCUACACAUUGCUGACAGAUCCAACAGAAACCACAGCAGUGAGGCAAACUAACUGACCAACAGGCAGUGAUGGUCCAUUGUCUAAAUAAAAGCAACUUUGUUUA
Molecule: RNA transcript, 2009 nt
Organism: Salvelinus fontinalis (brook trout)
Lineage: Eukaryota; Metazoa; Chordata; Actinopteri; Salmoniformes; Salmonidae
Gene name: translation initiation factor eIF-2B subunit gamma-like
Exons: 13
Source: RefSeq, a predicted model, not a curated record